CGCAUGUUCACAUGAUUAAAGGUAUUCCGGUAGACGAUGGGGAUGCGUUCCAUUAGAUAGUAGGCGGGGUAACGGCCCACCUAGUCUUCGAUGGAUAGGGGUUCUGAGAGGAAGGUCCCCCACAUUGGAACUGAGACACGGUCCAAACUCNUACGGGAGGCAGCAGUGAGGAAUAUUGGUCAAUGGGCGAGAGCCUGAACCAGCCAAGUAGCGUGAAGGAUGACUGCCCUAUGGGUUGUAAACUUCUUUUAUAAAGGAAUAAAGUCGGGUAUGGAUACCCGUUUGCAUGUACUUUAUGAAUAAGGAUCGGCUAACUCCGUGCCAGCAGCCGCGGUAAUACGGAGGAUCCGAGCGUUAUCCGGAUUUAUUGGGUUUAAAGGGAGCGUAGAUGGAUGUUUAAGUCAGUUGUGAAAGUUUGCGGCUCAACCGUAAAAUUGCAGUUGAUACUGGAUAUCUUGAGUGCAGUUGAGGCAGGCGGAAUUCGUGGUGUAGCGGUGAAAUGCUUAGAUAUCACGAAGA
This 519-nucleotide ribosomal RNA is filed under the name uncultured Bacteroidales bacterium. Its description in RNAcentral is "bacterial SSU rRNA". It matches the Rfam family "Bacterial small subunit ribosomal RNA", at positions 187 to 705 of the family's 1533-position model. Lineage: Bacteria; Pseudomonadati; Bacteroidota; Bacteroidia; Bacteroidales. The record is from RNAcentral.